GACGAACGCUGGCGGCGUGCUUAACACAUGCAAGUCGAACGAUGAAGCCCUUUCGGGGGUGGAUUAGUGGCGAACGGGUGAGUAACACGUGGGUAACCUGCCCUGUACCCUGGGAUAAGCCUUGGAAACGAGGUCUAAUACCGGAUAUGACCUGCUCUCGCAUGGGGGGUGGGUGGAAAGUUUUGGCGGUGCAGGAUGGACCCGCGGCCUAUCAGCUUGUUGGUGGGGUGAUGGCCUACCAAGGCGACGACGGGUAGCCGGCCUGAGAGGGCGACCGGCCACACUGGGGACUGAGACACGGCCCAGACUCCUACGGGGAGGCAGCAGGUGGGGAAUAUUGCACAAUGGGCGAAAGCCUGAUGCAGCGACGCCGCGUGAGGGAUGACGGCCUU
RNAcentral lists this ribosomal RNA (392 nucleotides) under uncultured bacterium. RNAcentral describes it as "bacterial SSU rRNA". It matches the Rfam family "Bacterial small subunit ribosomal RNA", at positions 28 to 418 of the family's 1533-position model. The record is from RNAcentral.